This 600-nucleotide ribosomal RNA is filed under the name uncultured bacterium. RNAcentral's name for it is "bacterial SSU rRNA". It matches the Rfam family "Bacterial small subunit ribosomal RNA", at positions 727 to 1339 of the family's 1533-position model. The record is from RNAcentral.
AGCUGGGCCGUAACUGACGCUGAGGCACGAAAGCGUGGGGAGCAAAUAGGAUUAGAUACCCUAGUAGUCCACGCCGUAAACGAUGAAUACUAAGUGUUGGAGAAAUUCAGUGCUGCAGUUAACGCAAUAAGUAUUCCGCCUGGGGAGUAUGCACGCAAGUGUGAAACUCAAAGGAAUUGACGGGGACCCGCACAAGCGGUGGAUUAUGUGGUUUAAUUCGAUACAACGCGAAGAACCUUACCAAGUCUUGACAUCCCUGGCGAAGGUAUAGAGAUAUACUGGAGGUUAUCCGGGUGACAGGUGGUGCAUGGUUGUCGUCAGCUCGUGUCGUGAGAUGUUGGGUUAAGUCCCGCAACGAGCGCAACCCUUGUCUUCAGUUACCAGCAUUCAGUUGGGGACUCUGGAGAGACUGCCGGUGACAAACCGGAGGAAGGUGGGGAUGACGUCAAAUCAGCAUGCCCCUUAUGACUUGGGCUACACACGUAAUACAAUGGCGCACACAAAGGGAAGCAAUAGGGUGACCUGGAGCAAAUCUCAUAAAUUGCGUCUCAGUUCGGAUUAGAGUCUGCAACUCGACUCUAUGAAGUUGGAAUCGCUAGU